This 454-nucleotide ribosomal RNA is filed under the name uncultured bacterium. Its description in RNAcentral is "bacterial SSU rRNA". It matches the Rfam family "Bacterial small subunit ribosomal RNA", at positions 29 to 506 of the family's 1533-position model. The record is from RNAcentral.
ACGAACGCUGGCGGCGUGCUUAACACAUGCAAGUCGAGCGAGAAACCUUCGGGUUUCUAGCGGCGGACGGGUGAGUAACACGUGGGUAACCUGCCUCAAAGAGGGGAAUAGCCUCCCGAAAGGGAGAUUAAUACCGCAUAAUAUUACAGCUUCGCAUGAAGCAGUAAUUAAAGGAGUAAUCCGCUUUGAGAUGGACCCGCGGCGCAUUAGCUAGUUGGAGAGGUAACGGCUCACCAAGGCAACGAUGCGUAGCCGACCUGAGAGGGUGAUCGGCCACAUUGGAACUGAGACACGGUCCAGACUCCUACGGGAGGCAGCAGUGGGGAAUAUUGCACAAUGGGCGAAAGCCUGAUGCAGCAACGCCGCGUGAGUGAUGACGGUCUUCGGAUUGUAAAGCUCUGUCUUUUGGGACGAUAAUGACGGUACCAAAGGAGGAAGCCACGGCUAACUACGU